This 719-nucleotide ribosomal RNA is filed under the name Achromobacter sp. 110609_136_C_H1. RNAcentral describes it as "bacterial SSU rRNA". It matches the Rfam family "Bacterial small subunit ribosomal RNA", at positions 23 to 737 of the family's 1533-position model. Lineage: Bacteria; Pseudomonadati; Pseudomonadota; Betaproteobacteria; Burkholderiales; Alcaligenaceae. The record is from RNAcentral.
CUCAGAUUGAACGCUAGCGGGAUGCCUUACACAUGCAAGUCGAACGGCAGCACGGACUUCGGUCUGGUGGCGAGUGGCGAACGGGUGAGUAAUGUAUCGGAACGUGCCUAGUAGCGGGGGAUAACUACGCGAAAGCGUAGCUAAUACCGCAUACGCCCUACGGGGGAAAGCAGGGGAUCGUAAGACCUUGCACUAUUAGAGCGGCCGAUAUCGGAUUAGCUAGUUGGUGGGGUAAUGGCUCACCAAGGCGACGAUCCGUAGCUGGUUUGAGAGGACGACCAGCCACACUGGGACUGAGACACGGCCCAGACUCCUACGGGAGGCAGCAGUGGGGAAUUUUGGACAAUGGGGGAAACCCUGAUCCAGCCAUCCCGCGUGUGCGAUGAAGGCCUUCGGGUUGUAAAGCACUUUUGGCAGGAAAGAAACGCCGCGGGUUAAUACCCUGCGGAACUGACGGUACCUGCAGAAUAAGCACCGGCUAACUACGUGCCAGCAGCCGCGGUAAUACGUAGGGUGCAAGCGUUAAUCGGAAUUACUGGGCGUAAAGCGUGCGCAGGCGGUUCGGAAAGAAAGAUGUGAAAUCCCAGAGCUUAACUUUGGAACUGCAUUUUUAACUACCGAGCUAGAGUGUGUCAGAGGGAGGUGGAAUUCCGCGUGUAGCAGUGAAAUGCGUAGAUAUGCGGAGGAACACCGAUGGCGAAGGCAGCCUCCUGGAUAAC